UUUGAUUCCUGCUCAGAUUGAACGCUGGCGGCAGGCCUAACACAUGCAAGUCGAGCGGCAGCACGGGAAGCUUGCUUCNUGGUGGCGAGCGGCGGACGGGUGAGUAAUGCAUAGGAAUCUGCCCGGUAGUGGGGGAUAACCUGGGGAAACCCAGGCUAAUACCGCAUACGCCCUACGGGGGAAAGCAGGGGCUCUUCGGACCUUGCGCUAUCGGAUGAGCCUAUGUCGGAUUAGCUGGUUGGUGAGGUAAUGGCUCACCAAGGCGACGAUCCGUAGCUGGUCUGAGAGGAUGAUCAGCCACAUCGGGACUGAGACACGGCCCGAACUCCUACGGGAGGCAGCAGUGGGGAAUAUUGGACAAUGGGCGCAAGCCUGAUCCAGCCAUGCCGCGUGUGUGAAGAAGGCCCUAGGGUUGUAAAGCACUUUCAGUGGGGAAGAAAGCC
RNAcentral lists this ribosomal RNA (443 nucleotides) under Billgrantia desiderata. RNAcentral's name for it is "bacterial SSU rRNA". It matches the Rfam family "Bacterial small subunit ribosomal RNA", at positions 12 to 453 of the family's 1533-position model. Lineage: Bacteria; Pseudomonadati; Pseudomonadota; Gammaproteobacteria; Oceanospirillales; Halomonadaceae. The record is from RNAcentral.